This 253-nucleotide ribosomal RNA is filed under the name uncultured bacterium. RNAcentral's name for it is "partial 16S ribosomal RNA". It matches the Rfam family "Bacterial small subunit ribosomal RNA", at positions 524 to 776 of the family's 1533-position model. The record is from RNAcentral.
UACAGAGGUCCCAAGCGUUGUUCGGAUUUACUGGGCGUAAAGGGUGCGUAGGCGGUUGGGUAAGUCUGACGUGAAAUCUCCGGGCCUAACCCGGAAACUGCGUUGGAUACUAUUUGACUAGAGGAAUGGAGGGGAGACUGGAAUACUUGGUGUAGCAGUGAAAUGCGUAGAUAUGCGGAGGAACACCGAUGGCGAAGGCAGCCUCCUGGGAUAACACUGACGCUCAUGCACGAAAGCGUGGGGAGCAAACAGG